This 1126-nucleotide long non-coding RNA is filed under the name Mus musculus (house mouse). RNAcentral describes it as "predicted gene, 56976". The record is from RNAcentral. Lineage: Eukaryota; Metazoa; Chordata; Mammalia; Rodentia; Muridae.
ACACACAGCUAAGAUCUCACAUGGAGCCCACAUUUGAGAACCGGUGACCACUCCGAACCACGCCUGGAAAUGAGGAAGCUUGCCAGUCUCCUCCGUGCUGUGGAAGAAGCAUUUUUAAAGGGUAACCUACAAGGAAAAACAGCUUCUCAGGAAACAGGGUCCCUGCUCAAGCCUCUAGAGCAAAAAGAGAAAGAAAGGGGACCUCAGAGAGCUGUGGCCUCGCCCUGAGAACAAGUUUCCACUGGGUGGGCCACUUCCCGAGACCCUUCCCUGAGGCAGGCGCUCCGUGUGGACCUAGUCUUGCAUUUCGCGAUCUUGUCCUCGUGGUCCCUACGUCCUGACCCUGGACAGGUGCUCCAGGCAGAAGACCCCACUUACCCAACAACCGAAAUCAUCAUGGCAGCCACCACCAGGUAGUUGGUCUGGUAAUAGAGCAGAUUGCUCACUACACGGUUGUUCCAUUUGGAAAUGUCCCUGAAGUCCGGCCGGGCGAAACGAUCAGAGCCCGGGAAGAAAUCGUCCCAGGCACGGAGCGGGGCGAGGUUCACGUCCAUGUUCCUCUGCUUCGCGAGCUUCGCCUUCGGAAUCUGGAGGCGGCGGCAGCGACAACCAGCUGGAUGAAAGAUGACAGCGGGUCCUUCGGAUUGGUUCUGCGGUUAAAGCACGGCAGGGCUCAGAAAAUUGGCUGCGGGCGGGUGUGUUGGUCUGUCUGUGAUUGGCUGGAAGUGGUUAGUGACUCAGAGCAGUGGGCUUUAUCCAAUGUUAGGACAAAAAGUAACUAGCGGAAAUCCCCUACCUAAACUAAAGGUGGUGUCAGUUCUCUCUGGCAGUUUAAAUACAAACCAUCUCUUUUUAAACACAUCGCUUGUGUGUGUUCUUUGCCCUGAAGGGAGAAAAAAAAAAAAAAAAAAAAAAAAAAAAAAAAAAAAAAAGCAGCUGUUCAGCUGUCAAUAUAAGUGGAAUGGAAUGGAAGCCGGCCUCAGUGUCACUGAAGUCCGGUAUUGCUAAUCUCCCCACAUAUGCGUGCAAUUUUCAUGAGUCACUUUGUGUGAAAUCACACUAGAAAAAAAAAAAAUGGGAGCAAGGGUUUGACUGAAGUGAACUGAAAUAAAGUGAUUGCCAGCUC